Molecule: ribosomal RNA, 273 nt
Filed under: uncultured Staphylococcus sp.
Lineage: Bacteria; Bacillati; Bacillota; Bacilli; Caryophanales; Staphylococcaceae
Description: partial 16S ribosomal RNA
Rfam family: Bacterial small subunit ribosomal RNA
Source: RNAcentral
ACGUUAGCGGCGGACGGGUGAGUAACACGUGGGUAACCUACCUAUAAGACUGGGAUAACUACGGGAAACCGGGGCUAAUACCGGAUAAUACAUGAAACCGCAUGGUUUCAUGAUGAAAGACGGUUUUGCUGUCACUUAUAGAUGGACCCGCGGCGUAUUAGCUAGUUGGUAAGGUAACGGCUUACCAAGGCAACGAUACGUAGCCGACCUGAGAGGGUGAUCGGCCACACUGGAACUGAGACACGGUCCAGACUCCUACGGGAGGCAGCAGAC